AUACGGAGGGUGCAAGCGUUACUCGGAAUCACUGGGCGUAAAGCGUGCGCAGGCGGCCAUUUAAGUUGGAUGUGAAAGCCUACGGCUCAACCGUAGAACUGCAUCCAAAACUAUUUGGCUAGAGUGUGGGAGAGGAAGAUGGAAUUAGUUGUGUAGGGGUAAAAUCCGUAGAGAUAACUAGGAAUACCAAAAGCGAAGGCAAUCUUCUGGAACAUUACUGACGCUGAGGCGCGAAAGCGUGGGGAGCAAACAGGAUUAGAAACCCUAGUAGUCC
Molecule: ribosomal RNA, 274 nt
Filed under: uncultured bacterium
Lineage: Bacteria
Description: partial 16S ribosomal RNA
Rfam family: Bacterial small subunit ribosomal RNA
Source: RNAcentral